UGCGGCUGGAUCACCUCCUUUCUGGAAAACAGCAUUCAAUAUUGAACGCCCACACUUAUCGGUUGUUGGAAGAGUCGGUGCUAACCGACAUGGGUCUGUAGCUCAGCUGGUUAGAGCACCGUCUUGAUAAGGCGGGGGUCGUUGGUUCGAGCCCAACUAGACCCACCAAAUCUUCCGAACAUAAGAUGCGAGGAUCAGUGGGGGAUUAGCUCAGCUGGGAGAGCACCUGCUUUGCAAGCAGGGGGUCGUCGGUUCGAUCCCGUCAUCCUCCACCAAACGAUAUGCCCUGCGGUAGGGCGAAGAAACUAACACCAAAGCGGCUUCGCGAGAGGCCUCUUUGUUGUUGGUCCGGUAUAGACCGGGUCAAUCGGCUGUUCUUUAAAAAUUCAUAGAGUCGAAUCAGCGUUGCCGACGGAAAGCAGGAAACUGCACCGUGCCGUCGGCAACAAUAAUUUGAUUGCGUCAAAACGAAUGUUCAAUUGAGCGAAAGCUGAUUGAAAUUCAGUAAUGACGAAUUGUUCUCGAGGUAGCAAUACCGAAGAAGAAUUCACAUUACGGCAUAACGCGCGAGGUGAAAGACCUCGCAAGUCCUUGAAAGAAAGCGGAGAUGUCUC
Molecule: transfer RNA, 614 nt
Filed under: Paracidovorax cattleyae
Lineage: Bacteria; Pseudomonadati; Pseudomonadota; Betaproteobacteria; Burkholderiales; Comamonadaceae
Description: Acidovorax cattleyae partial contains 16S ribosomal RNA, 16S-23S ribosomal RNA intergenic spacer, and 23S ribosomal RNA
Rfam family: tRNA (bases 92-165)
Source: RNAcentral